RNAcentral lists this long non-coding RNA (730 nucleotides) under Phoenix dactylifera (date palm). RNAcentral's name for it is "long non-coding RNA (PDAC_LNC003692)". The record is from RNAcentral. Lineage: Eukaryota; Viridiplantae; Streptophyta; Magnoliopsida; Arecales; Arecaceae.
UUUAUUCAAUGGGAACUCCCUGAGAAGAGCGAUUGGGAUCAGCCGGCUCACCCCCUCCAAAUGCCUUCGUCUUCACCUCCUAACUCCUUUAUAUAGACUGCUCCCCUCCCUCUCUCCUUCAUGUCUUGGAUCAGGAUGUAGAGAUUGAACAGGGGAUGGUGUGGAUGGCAUAUCCGAAUGCGAACAGGAGAAAAUCUGGGAAGAUGUUGGGAUACGCGGAUGAGGAAGUUUGGAUUUGGCUGGGAUUAAGCUGGGAGAAGGUUCCGACGCGGAGAAAACUCAUGAAGUUGAGAGGAUCUCGGCUGGGAGGAUUGUUGCUGUUUCGAAACAGGGGAGGAUGGCAAGUGGGUGGCUGGGAGAUGAGUGGAUCACGGGAGGAUGAAGCUUAUCCAGGAAUACAGCCGUUGGCUGGUUAUGGAUGCAGGGGAUUCAUCCGUGCACGAUGCGGAAUGAAGAGAAGUUGAGGAGGUUUGGAAACAGUGGAUACGAUUGGGAACAGGGGAUUCGAUUUGGAUGAAGAAGGAUGCGGACGCGAGAUGAACUCGGGACGUUGGGAAAGCUGGACUCUUGAUUUUUGGAAAGAUGACUCUAAGAUGCAGGGGAUUUGGAAGAAGCUGGGAGCUGAUCCUGUGAACGGAAGAAAGCUUUGUUCUUGGAUUCGGUUCGUGGGAUUAUGGCUAAGCUUGAUUUGUGAUGAGCUGGUAGCAGGGGAUAACGAGGACGAGUUGUG